AACUUUUUUUUUUUUUUUUUUUUUUUUUUUUACUGUGAAGGGAUUAAUUUUGUUUUAUUUUUAGUACUUGCUUGCCGUUCACUUUAAAAAGUAUCCUUUAGGCUUGUUAGUUUCAAAGGAAAUAAUAUAUUUCCUCUUGAUUUAAGAUGUCUAUGCUAUCAUUAGAUAUUAAUAGUAGAAAUAAUAGCAGGAUUGCCUGGUACAAAUUUGUCCUGUCCUUCUGACUAAGUAAUAGGGUGCAAAUGCUCCUUGCUGUGCUUCUGAUGAUGAAAUAGAAAUAACACUUCGCAUUUUACAACACAUUGUAUUUCAUAAAGCCUUUUACAUUCAUUACCUCAUUUAAUCAUCAAAAACAAUUUUGUGAAGUAGAUAGUAUUUUUCACAUUUAAGUGUGAGAACAUUGAUGCUCAAGGAAGCAAUGAUUCAGCUGAGGACACAGUGAGUGUCAGUGCCAGGACUUAAAUCUGUUUCUUCUCACUUUCCCUCUAGGGUCCUUCCCACAUCAUCACACUGUCUCCUUCUGUGCUUUGCUCUAUCCUGCUGCACCAACUAGCUAGUGUCUUUAGCAUACUACCUUAGAAUAGCUAACACUUACUGAACGCCCACUUUCUGCCAAACCCUGUCUUAAGCACUUACAUGUGUUACCUAAUUCAGUUCUUGAAACUGAUGUAUGAUAGGUAAUAUUAUUAUUUAUUUUUAUUUUUAUUGUUCUUUAGGUUCUGGGGUAUAUGUGUUGAUCAUGCAGGACUAUUGCAUAGGUACAUACGUGGCAAUGUGGUUUGCUGCCUCCAUCUAUUAUUAUCUCCAUUUUGCAAACAGAGAAACAUAGAAUUUAGAUAGCUUGUUCAGAAUGCCUAGCCAAUAAGUGUAAUAAGUAGGUCUCAAAUCUGGACAGUCUGUCUCGGGAAAUGCAUGCUUAACCACUGUCCUCUAUUGCCUCUUAAAUAACGAAAGCCAGUAAAGAUUUUAUAAAUGACUUUUCUCAUGAAUAAUAGGGCCUGAGGUGAGUUUCUCAAUAUCACUUAUGGCAAUAAGAAUUUCAGCAAUCAUAAUCUUGGUGCAUUUUCCAAAAAGGAUGGCUCCCUAUUGGGUAACACAAGCUGAAAUGUGUAUUCUGUUAGAAAUCGUUGAUUCCAGCCUAGGGAGGUAUCAAGAAUAAUGCUGUUGCCAUAAAGAUGUAAGUCUUGAGACAAACACUGGAGAGGUUCUGUCAUUCAAUCAACUAUACAAACAUUUAUUGAACACUUUUUAUGUUCAAAUGCUGUACCAAGUAUCUGAAUAAUGUUCACAUGAAGCUCAAAAUCUAAUAAAAAUACAUUUGAAUACAGAUACUUGGUAAAUUCUCUAAAAUUCACAAAGCUUCACCGACACGUGAAAUUUCUUUAAUAUGGAGAAAUUAAGGAAGGUUUAAUGAAAGUAGUAACAUUAGAGCUAAUCUUUGGGUAAAGAAGAGGAAAAGACAAAUUGUAGUGCAUAGUAUAACCGUAUAUAGGUUCUUUGGAGAUACCUCAUUGAGUAUAAAAUUUUCAGAACUCACCUUAUGAGUCAAUAGGAACUUUAUACACUGAUGAGAAUAAAGUGUGUCGUUUCAAAGUACACUGUCCGUGGCAUGAGAGUAACCACCACAUUGAUACUUGUUGAAGAAAAGUUCUCCUGGGUUCUUCCCAGUCUCCCCUCCUUGGGUGCCAAUUAGGCAUCUUACGAAGGACAAGUCGUCUUCCCUGUUCCGAAGAAUCGAUUUUUAUAGUUAUUUAUAUCUACUUUUCAUGAACAUGCAGUAUUCAUUUUGAUUAUUGUUAAAUCAAUAUAAAUUCUGAAUGAAUUUCUCUGACUUUUACUUUGCUUAUUAAGUUGGAGACUCAAGGGCAAUGCAGAUGAGAACUUCAGAUUCUUCCUUUGAGAAGAUUUUUGGUCAGUGGCUCUUUAAGAAGACCCAGAGCAGGUUGUGUAUACUUGGUAAAAUCAGAUACUUGGUAUAUACGGGGUUUUUUUUGUAACAUCAUGUGAGGAUUUUUUUAAUAUUGUUUUUUGAUUUUUCUCAUAAAAAUACAAGAUUAGCAGAGUGCUCACGUGGUAUUUUUGUGACAUUUCAUUAUACUGCCAUAAGGUGGGAAGUGGUGCCUUGGUUGUGGUUUUGUGAUUUGAGUUGCUAGGUUGCAGCAAAAAUGUGGUAAAAUUUCCCACCAUGAGGAUUUCUUUGCUGAAAUGUACUGCCCUUCUUAAAAAAGAAAAAAAAAAAAUAGCUGGAAGUGUUUUCCAAUGGAAAGUGACUAAUAAAGAAAUCAAUAAUGAAGGAAUAUUGUUAGACUGGCAAGAAUCACGACGACAAUGUUAAGAAAACAUUGUACAUAUUUAACUUAUUUAAUUUCUAGAUCCUCAAUAUCAUUAUUAAGAAGUUUAAUGAGUUUUGUUUACAGUUGUUUUUCAUUAAGUGUCCUCAUCAUACUUAGCUUAAAUUAUGUAUCUAAAUAUGUCUCCUCUAUGAAGUUUUUUGUGUUCAGAAUCAAGUGAUCCACUAAUUUCAUUAAGCAGUAGAUGUAUAUAUUUUGAUACAUAUCAAAGAUGAAGUGUAGCUCAGUUCCCAAAAAACCUACUAACUGAAAACUUCAGUUCAUGUAAUACGCCCAGCAUUCACCCUCGUGGAAUUUAGACAGGAGGGAUUGUGGCCUGUAUGUUUCACUAUUGGAACCUAUCUUAGUAAAAUUCAAAGAAUAGUUUCAUUAGUAAUUUCUUCAAAGAAAUCUGCUUCAAUUUAUUCAGAUGUUUUGUAGUCCCCCCUUUGUAUUGAAUAUAAAGCACCGAGUUAAAGAGGUAAAAAUACCACAAUGAACAAGAUAGUUUCCCUCCUCUGGGAUCUGGUGAAGAAAUAGAUAUGUAAAAACUGUAAAAAAUAAAAAAAAAAGUA
Sapajus apella (tufted capuchin) is the source of this 2905-nucleotide long non-coding RNA. RefSeq lists it as uncharacterized. The record is from RefSeq and is a predicted model, not a curated record. Lineage: Eukaryota; Metazoa; Chordata; Mammalia; Primates; Cebidae. The transcript has 2 exons.